UUGAACGCUGGCGGCAUGCUUUACACAUGCAAGUCGAACGGUAACAGGUUAAGCUGACGAGUGGCGAACGGGUGAGUAAUGCAUCGGAACGUGCCCGAUCGUGGGGGAUAACGCAGCGAAAGCUGCGCUAAUACCGCAUACGAUCUGAGGAUGAAAGCGGGGGACCGUAGGGCCUCGCGCGAUCGGAGCGGCCGAUGUCAGAUUAGGUAGUUGGUGGGGUAAAGGCUCACCAAGCCGACGAUCUGUAGCUGGUCUGAGAGGACGACCAGCCACACUGGGACUGAGACACGGCCCAGACUCCUACGGGAGGCAGCAGUGGGGAAUUUUGGACAAUGGGCGCAGGCCUGAUCCAGCAAUGCCGCGUGCAGGAAGAAGGCCUUCGGGUUGUAAACUGCUUUUGUACGGAACGAAAAGGUCUGGGUUAAUACCCUGGGCCCAUGACGGUACCGUAAGAAUAAGCACCGGCUAACUACGU
RNAcentral lists this ribosomal RNA (475 nucleotides) under uncultured bacterium. RNAcentral's name for it is "bacterial SSU rRNA". It matches the Rfam family "Bacterial small subunit ribosomal RNA", at positions 30 to 506 of the family's 1533-position model. The record is from RNAcentral.